CUCGGAGUUUGAUCCUGGCUCAGGAUGAACGCUAGCGGCAGGCUUAACACAUGCAAGUCGAGGGGUAUUGGUUUUCGGACCAAGAGACCGGCGCACGGAUGCGUAACGCGUAUGCAAUCUACCUUUCGACAGAGGGAUAGCCCAGAGAAAUUUGGAUUAAUACCUCAUAGUAUGCAGAGUUGGCAUCGAACACUGCAUUAAAGUCACAACGGUGAAAGAUGAGCAUGCGU
This 230-nucleotide ribosomal RNA is filed under the name uncultured Flavobacteriaceae bacterium. RNAcentral describes it as "partial 16S ribosomal RNA". It matches the Rfam family "Bacterial small subunit ribosomal RNA", at positions 1 to 236 of the family's 1533-position model. The record is from RNAcentral. Lineage: Bacteria; Pseudomonadati; Bacteroidota; Flavobacteriia; Flavobacteriales; Flavobacteriaceae.